This 1040-nucleotide ribosomal RNA is filed under the name uncultured bacterium. RNAcentral's name for it is "bacterial SSU rRNA". It matches the Rfam family "Bacterial small subunit ribosomal RNA", at positions 59 to 1105 of the family's 1533-position model. The record is from RNAcentral.
CAGUCGACGGUCAAGCUUUGUGGUUACUACUUAGUGGAGAUAGUGGCGAACGGGUGAGUAACGCGUGGGCAACCUGCCCUGGAGACCGGGAUAACACCGCGAAAGUGGUGCUAAUACCGGAUAUGCUCUUAGUACCGCAUGGUACAGAGAGGAAAGAAAUUCGCUCCAGGAUGGGCCCGCGUCCCAUUAGCUAGUUGGUGAGGUAACUGCUCACCAAGGCGACGAUGGGUAGCCGGUCUGAGAGGAUGAACGGCCACACUGGAACUGAGACACGGUCCAGACUCCUACGGGAGGCAGCAGUGGGGAAUCUUCCGCAAUGGACGAAAGUCUGACGGAGCAACGCCGCGUGGGUGAUGAAGGUUUUCGGAUUGUAAAACCCUGUCAGGAAGGAAGAUAAUGACGGUACUUCCAAAGGAAGCCCCGGCUAACUACGUGCCAGCAGCCGCGGUAAUACGUAGGGGGCAAGCGUUGUCCGGAAUAACUGGGCGUAAAGAGCACGUAGGCGGUCUUUUAAGUCAGAUGUGAAAUAUCCCGGCUCAACUGGGAGGGUGCAUUUGAUACUGGAAGACUAGAGUGCAGGAGAGGAAAGUGGAAUUCCUAGUGUAGCGGUGAAAUGCGUAGAUAUUAGGAGGAACACCAGUGGCGAAGGCGGCUUUCUGGACUGUAACUGACGCUGAGGUGCGAAAGCCAGGGUAGCAAACGGGAUUAGAUACCCCGGUAGUCCUGGCCGUAAACGAUGGGUACUAGGUGUAGGAGGUAUCGACCCCUUCUGUGCCGCAGUUAACACAAUAAGUACCCCGCCUGGGGAGUACGGCCGCAAGGCUGGAACUCAAAAGAAUUGACGGGGGCCCGCACAAGCGGUGGAGCAUGUGGUUUAAUUCGACGCAACGCGAAGAACUUUACCAGGGCUUGACAUCUCUUGACCGUUUUGGAAACAAGACUUUCCGAUGCUUGCAUUGAACAAGGAGACAGGUGGUGCAUGGUUGUCGUCAGCUCGUGUCGUGAGAUGUUGGGUUAAGUCCCGCAACGAGCGCAACCCC